Pezoporus occidentalis (night parrot) is the source of this 565-nucleotide long non-coding RNA. RefSeq lists it as uncharacterized. The transcript has 2 exons. NCBI's taxonomy places the organism in Eukaryota, Metazoa, Chordata, Aves, Psittaciformes, Psittacidae. The record is from RefSeq and is a predicted model, not a curated record.
CGGAGCUUUCCUCUAUCUUUACAGAAAGAAGACUGAGAAUUGUCUGCUUAUCUCACUGAAGAACUGUGGAAACCAGGUUGAAAGCAUCCAACCUGUAGGAGUCUGGCAGGGGACCACAGUCAAGAAGACCUCACCAGAUGAAGCUGAGGCUUCUAAUGCUGUUUCCCUUGAAACCCAAGAACAAGCUCCUGGAGGCUGUAGGCAAGUUUUUCCAGAAACCUUUUUUGCCUUCUUCAGCUUUUGCUGUUUCAUUCAAACCUUUCAUAUCACCUGCAGAUCCGCUUUUUGUAUUGCUCUGGUAUUAGCACAUUCCCAUUUGACUUUUGGGGUAGUAGGGAUCGGUUUCAUCAGCUGUGAUCAGAAGGCUGACCACGCACAAGUGGUCUUGUAGCAUUGCUGAUUGAAUAACUUGAGUUUUCCCCUGACAAACAGGAUCUCCUGUUGGGCCUUCCACACAUUUAUUUGAGGAUGGGGCUGUUGGAGGGCUGUAGCCAAAGCCCAGCAAUUCUCAAUAAGCUCGAGAAAGCCAUGAUAUUGCUUGUAGAAAUAAAUAUUUUCUGUAAAC